This 573-nucleotide long non-coding RNA is filed under the name Bos taurus (domestic cattle). RNAcentral describes it as "long non-coding RNA NONBTAT000181". The record is from RNAcentral. Lineage: Eukaryota; Metazoa; Chordata; Mammalia; Artiodactyla; Bovidae.
GCUCCUAUGAUCAGUGGAGGACCUAAGUGACUCAUAAUUAGACAAAAUGUAGAUUCAAGUAAGAGUUACAUAACAGUUUUAGCAGUCAUAUAUGCAAGAAAAAUCAUUAUGCUUAUAAGUGAAGUGAAAAGUAACAGAAGCAUUCCCAAAAAUGUGAUAAAGAUAUUAAAAAGCACCAUGACUGACAGAACUCGAACGCCAUAGAGACUCAUUAGUAGAUUCUAAAGGAAGUUGCUAAUGAAUAAGAAAAGCUGUUAAACAGACUUUGAAAAUCUCCAAAGAACUGGGACGUGCUUUAAGAAAAUCUUGAGGUAAGUGCAAUAUAAUAAAACUCAGACAAAAUUUUUAACUAUCACAGGAAAUACCAUUGCAAUGGUAUUGUAGGUUAUAACAGUUCAGACAUAAGUGCCUUCAGGAUUUUGAAUAUUGUUUAAAGAGACAAAAAAGACCUAUCAAAGCUCACUACUCUAUCAAAACCUUAGAAUCUCUUAAUAACAGAAGCAGCUGCCUAGAUUCAAACUGUGUAAGAAAAAUGCAAGGAUUACAAAAAUUUGAUGCAAUAUUUUUACAUCC